Molecule: long non-coding RNA, 1054 nt
Organism: Lagopus leucura (white-tailed ptarmigan)
Lineage: Eukaryota; Metazoa; Chordata; Aves; Galliformes; Phasianidae
Exons: 3
Source: RefSeq, a predicted model, not a curated record
CCCUGCAGUUGGCUGUGUGGUAGAGUUGCUUGGGGGUGGCUGGUGUUUGUCUUUUCGUGUUCCUUUUCUGAUGGCUAAGAAGGCAGUCUAAGAGCAGAGACGUAUCCAGGCCGUGGGCAGAGGGUGUGCCAUAGCGAUAGUCCUGGCCUGGGUAAAGCAUGAACCAGAUCCUUCUUGGCAAGCGAGAUUGAGCCCACAGAGGCAUCCUCAUUCCUACCUCCAGAUGGAUGUAAGUUUUUUGGAGGUGGCUGUGAAGGAGCACGUCUGUGCCAGUGCAGUGCUUGCUGAGCAAGUGUGGUGGUUUAAUUUUGCGUCCUGUGCAGAAGAGGCUGUUCAAGGCAGCAGUGCGAUGUGGACUCCCUGCCUCCAGUUGCAGUGAUUCCAGGGGCAGCUCUCCAAAGAAGGCUGCCCUUUGUAGUAGAGUGGUACAGGGCAACGUACCUUGUGCUGCUGCUCUGCUCUGCUGGGCUUCCUCACUCUCCUGCUUGUGCCGACACAAGGGCUCUGAGGAACUGCUGCUCGAAAUGGCAUCUGUUGCACUGAAGACUAUGUGAUCUCUCAAUUCCCUUACAGCCCACAAAGCUGUGUGGUGUCUGAGCCUUGAAGAGAACGGCUUUUCUUCUGAGUGGAGGCCUUUUCAGGGAUCAUCUCUCUUUUUUUCGGAGAGUUUCUUCAGUGUAAAUGACUCCGUGAGAACUUGGUGACUGAUUCUGAAGUACCGAGUGAGGAGAGGGAACAGCACGCGCCUCUGCUGCAAUGCUCAGGGGAUGCACCCACACACACUGCUGGUUGUUCUGGCCUUCCUUUGCUUGAACUUGGACCUCUAGAAAGAACAAAAGCCUUGCCAAGUGAGUGGAAAAGGAUCUUAGGAACGCAUGUAACAUUUUAUUUUUAUUUUUUCCUCGAAGAGAAAAGCCGGGGAAAAAAUUGACAUAAGCUUUUGAGAAAGCACCGUUAGCGCUCAGUGUGCUUCUCCCAGCUGAUCUUCCUUUCAUGAGAGGGAUGGGAUAAACAGUACAGCAAGUUGAGCUGCUACAUGGUCUGAGGGAGGUAA